RNAcentral lists this long non-coding RNA (1147 nucleotides) under Bos grunniens (domestic yak). RNAcentral describes it as "lncRNA (ENSBGRG00000013669.1)". Lineage: Eukaryota; Metazoa; Chordata; Mammalia; Artiodactyla; Bovidae. The record is from RNAcentral.
UCAGAAAGUAACUCAUAAGAAAAUGCCUGGGAAGUGUCUUAGCGAGUUUCUCUAUUGCAAGUCAGUUUCACUAGUUUCAUUGCCUGCAGGGUGCAAUGAAACUGUCCUUCGUACAGGAUAACUGUAGGAAGUUCUGGGUAAUCCUGUAAUCUUCAUGAGAUAUGGAAUUGACAAAAGGAUUACAAUAUCACAGGUGAGAAGCUAUUUAACUCCAUUGAGCUAUUACCUGUUAUUGUUAUUCAGUCGCUUCUUUGUGACCCAUGGAGCUAUCACCUAGUCCAGAGGUUUAUCAAACUUUUUAUCUUAAGCAAAAUAUUUGUAAGUAGGAACAGUAGAGGAUUCUUUUUUUUUUUUUAAUCACACACAUACAUUUUAACUGCCAAAGUUCUUUGACUUCCAUAGUUUCAUCACAUAAUUCUGAACAACAUUUUUAAGAUUUUUCUUUCCCUGUUAAAAACACAGGUUAGAUAGAGAUGCGGAGGUGAAAGAUAUCCAGCAGUAUUCUGAAAAGGUCCAUACUUCUCUUUAUGAGUGUUCCUUUGAGUCUUUGCCAUUGUGUCUCCUUCACAAAAAAGGAAAACAUUCCUCAAAGGAAACAGUAGGGGAAUUCUUAACACAUAAAACAUUGAGCCGAUUAAGCAGAGCUGUGUUGGUGGAAACCAGACUGGGCAUCAGAAGGAGAUUUGGGGAGGGAAGAGGAUGCCAGAGGAUGCUCUUGCAGGGACCUCUGGGAUUUAGAGCUUAAAGUCUAAGCACUGUGGCACCAUCCAACCCCAUGUCACAAAGGUCCAGAAGCUUGAGUUCUGAGAUGCUGAAAGACUUGCCCAAAGUUACACAGUCAGGAGGGUGGCAUUAAACUGGACUCAACACUCCAAACUUCUAGUUCAGAAGUUUCCCAUAACAGUGAGCCAAUGACUGAUCUUCCCUUCAAUGUUUAUUUUUCCUAAUUUGAAAACUCAGGAAGUGUAGGGAGUAUAAGGGAAAAAUGAAAUCCACCUAAAAUCCUAUCAACCAGAAAAAUGUACAUGCUAUAUUUCCAGUAUAAUCUUGACUUCAAGACUCUUAGACAUACUUGACUUUUCUCAGGUUGAUUCAAAUGUGUGGUUGAUUCUGAGACAGUGAAUACAGAGAAUCGAAUGUCCCAGAC